This 446-nucleotide ribosomal RNA is filed under the name uncultured bacterium. RNAcentral's name for it is "partial 16S ribosomal RNA". It matches the Rfam family "Bacterial small subunit ribosomal RNA", at positions 338 to 795 of the family's 1533-position model. The record is from RNAcentral.
CCUACGGGAGGCAGCAGUCGAGAAUCUUUCACAAUGGGGGAAACCCUGAUGGUGCGACGCCGCGUGGGGGAAUGAAGGUCUUCGGAUUGUAAACCCCUGUCAUGUGGGAGCAAAUUAAAAAGAUAGUACCACAAGAGGAAGAGACGGCUAACUCUGUGCCAGCAGCCGCGGUAAUACAGAGGUCUCAAGCGUUGUUCGGAAUCACUGGGCGUAAAGCGUGCGUAGGCUGUUUCGUAAGUCGUGUGUGAAAGGUGCGGGCUCAACCCGCGGACGGCACAUGAUACUGCGAGACUAGAGUAAUGGAGGGGGAACCGGAAUUCGCGGUGUAGCAGUGAAAUGCGUAGAUAUCGAGAGGAACACUCGUGGCGAAGGCGGGUUCCUGGACAUUAACUGACGCUGAGGCACGAAGGCCAGGGGAGCGAAAGGGAUUAGAUACCCCAGUAGUC